Molecule: long non-coding RNA, 450 nt
Organism: Cimex lectularius (bed bug)
Lineage: Eukaryota; Metazoa; Arthropoda; Insecta; Hemiptera; Cimicidae
Exons: 3
Source: RefSeq, a predicted model, not a curated record
GGAAGAUUUAUCUGUAACUAGAAGUGCGGCGAUGUUUUCGUCCCCUAAUCCCCUAGACUCCCUAGAGCCUUCAACACGUAUGAACGGAUCAAAGUCACAACGACUGCGUUUUAUUUUUAGGAACGCAUUAUAAACGAGUUUUUCGUCAAAUUCAAAGCAAUUCUUGGACGAUAGUAAUUUCGAAGAAACUAUCAAUUUGGCUGAAGAAAAAUUAAAAGGAAACGAACCAAAGAAAUAAACAGAUAAUAAAACGCAAUAAAGGAAAAAGAAAAGAAAUUAAAAAAAAGGAAAAACAAGGCUGAGGCUAUCAACCGUCUUAUAAAGCCAAAAUUAAAUAAAUCGAAAUGUGCGGAAGAAAAAUGUUUAUGUCCUAACUUCGUAGCAUGGAUUCGAAGAUUAUUUGAAGAUUAAACUUGUUUAUUUUAGUUAUUUGAAUUUAUUUUAUUUUGG